GUCAUUGUCAACGUCACUAACGCGUCGCGAACGCUGUACUGUGGCUGCUUCCGGCAUUAGGUGUGGACAUUGGAGAGAGUAAGCUCCGAUUGCAUGAUUGCCUUUCCCUCGCGUAUCGUUCGAAUCAGCUGUUCUGUUUCUCGUGCGGGUCUCGCACUGCUGCUGUGGCUGCCGUUGUUGUGUGUGACUAUGCAUACAUCAGAUGCGUCAUCGGUGCUCCCCUUGAAAUAUUGAAAGUGUUGACUGCUAGUCCGGGCGCAUUUCACGUCCUGCCCACGGAUAACAUUGCUGUUUUGUUUUGUGUUGAUUUUGUUUUAUAGUUUGUUUUGUUUGUCUUUAUUUAUAUUUGGUUAAAAGUGAUAUUCUCUGCUCUUCUUUGUCUUCGUAUUUUCUAUUAGUUUUCUGUGUAUUUAUUUUUAGUUGAUUCCUAUUUUCCAAAGAACCUUAUCCUCGUUCUUGGGUUUAUUUUGCAGCUCAUCAUUUUGUUGGCUGUUCGAUUAAUUGUAUAUUUUGUUAAAUGUGAUCUUUUUCUCCUUUUGUAUUUUUCUAGUUUGUAUUUUUGUUUUGCUGUUUUCUUUUUUUUGUAAACUGUUAAAAACCAACUGUUUCUAUUGUGCAUCCUCUUGAUUUUUUUUUUUUUUUACUUAUUCGUUGUUAUUUGAGGGCAAAUAGGCCUUGUCCAUUUCUUUUGCAGUUUGGUUAAUUCUUAUUGUUUGUGUUUUGUCAAUUAGUUUAAAUUAACAUGAGGGCAGUUCAGUGUCAUGUUUAAUAAUUCUGUGUGUAUCUUAGUGAUUCUUUAUUGAGAUUGCUCUGUUUUUGUGUCACAGGAUCUGGGUGCCAAAGGCAGGGAGGCCGGCUCUAUUCCCUUCUAGUGGUGGUGGUGUUAUUCACAGUGUGCUGUGUGUGUGUGUGUGUGUUUGCGUGCACUGGUAAAAGGAAUGAUUUCUGACAGCCUGACCCUGCUGGUAAGCCCCAGUUAGCUGGUGUUCCUGUGACAUUCGUAGAGCUAAACUCUUAUGAUGCGCUGUGCUUUGGCUGAGGCCGAUAUGUUUUAAUGAUUGUUUUAAAGGGAC
Molecule: long non-coding RNA, 1073 nt
Organism: Cyprinus carpio carpio
Lineage: Eukaryota; Metazoa; Chordata; Actinopteri; Cypriniformes; Cyprinidae
Source: Ensembl